CUGAAAUUUUCAGAUGAAUCGGUCAACCUGUUGUUGGGUUGCUGCCCCUGAAUUGGUAAUUUUGAGGAAAUUUUGCUGUUUUUGGUUAUUAUCUUGAAUAUUAUCAUAGAUAGAGAUAAACUGUAAACAGCAAUAAUGUUCAUCAAAGUAUGAUUUACAAAUAAGUCAACAUGACCGAAAUGGUCAGUUGACCCCUUAAGGAGUUAUUGCCCUUUAUAGUCAAUUUUUAACAAUUUUCAUUAAUUUGGUAAAUUUAUGUAAAUUUUUACCAAAUAUUUUUCUCUGUUACUAAUGGGCAAAGUUCAUUAUAGAUAUAAUUGUAAGAAGCAAGAAUGUUCAGUAAAGUAAGAACUUCAAACACAUCACCAUCACCAAAAUACAAUUUUGUCAUGAAUCCAUUUGUGUCCUUUGUUUAAUAUGCACAUAGACCAAGGUGAGCGACACAGGCUCUUUAGAGCCUCUAGUUUGGCAAU
RNAcentral lists this long non-coding RNA (473 nucleotides) under Mytilus galloprovincialis (Mediterranean mussel). Lineage: Eukaryota; Metazoa; Mollusca; Bivalvia; Mytilida; Mytilidae. The record is from RNAcentral.